Molecule: small RNA, 623 nt
Filed under: bovine gut metagenome
Source: RNAcentral
AUUAUUAUAAAGGUGGUGCAGUAUCCUAGUCGGUAAUGCUAUCUCUGAAGACGGGCCUAAAAAUCCGUUAAAGGGCACAUCGAUGAAACUUCUUGUGUAGGCUUCUGACGCCCAGUCGGGGGUCUAUGCUGGGAGGUAAGAAAGCCGGGCAGCUGACAACGGCAUGUCAACCCUGACCCUUCUUUCGUGGAGACCUGAACGGGUGGUUGCAUUCCCUCUGCGCAGAUACACAGCUUGCGUUGUGGAGGAAAAGAGCCACUCCUCAGGAUUAAACCUGUAUUGCGGGAUUUACUGUGUACAGUGUAGCCUGCCUUGAGUGGUGGGGGUGAAUAUCGGAACACAGGCACGGAGCUAAGGCCAUGUGAAGUGCUAUGAUCGCCGGUUGAAACCUUCAUUGCAAAAGAGGCUAGGAAAUAGCAGAGCUGUUGAGGAAAGCUCCUAGGCUGACGCAUUGUUCGGGCAUAUCAGGGAUUACAGUGUGGUCUCAGUGGCGAUCAGGGGGCCUUGCAAAAGAGGCACGCGGACUUAAUGGGAAACCGCUUCUUUUUCCGGUGACGGGGAGCGUCUGCGGGAGAAAUUCAUCCUGACCUCAAGCCAUAAAGUUUACUUGAUAUGUUGCCACU